This 9357-nucleotide long non-coding RNA is filed under the name Mytilus galloprovincialis (Mediterranean mussel). The record is from RNAcentral. Lineage: Eukaryota; Metazoa; Mollusca; Bivalvia; Mytilida; Mytilidae.
CCCUCAUGUUAGCUUACCUAAUAGUUAAGGGAAGCACUAUUUGGCAAGAUAUUAUUUAUUCAUAAUAUUAGUAUUCAUAACAUAAAAUAUUUCACAAAAUAUAUUUGAUAAAUUAUUAUGAUUAUACACAUACAUUACAUUUUGCUUCUUUUUCUCUUUUUCAUAGUAUUUUUUUUUUCCGGAAUCAACUCCGUUAUCGGUAUGAUCCGUGUUUCCAUUAGUAUUGGGCACAGUGUUGUUUUUCGCAUGUGCGUUAUCGGGUAUAGUUUUGAUGUGUGUCGUCUAAAUUAUAUAAAUAUUAUCCACUGGAUUUAACGAUUAUAUAUGGUGAGUUUACUAUUCAAGUUUUCUUUAAUUAUCUACUGAUCUUUUUUUGUCGAAAUGUAUGUGUGUAAUUCACAAAUAGGUAAUUUAAGUGUAACAAGUUGGAACACUCGACAUCCGAAAUGAUACAUUAUUUUUCCACAUUAAUUAAUAAACGUACGGAUACAUUUAUACUAUAACAAUUCUUUUUAUCUUUUUGUAAAUACACAUUUUAAAAUAUAAAAAAUGCAGUAUAAUUUACAUGUGGUGACUCAUGCAUGGCUGAACAUGCUUACAAACAUUGAACAUGCAUGGUUGAACUUGAUUAUAAAUAUUACCAUAUUUGUCUUGUGUACAAUAAUCAAUUUGUGUACACAAUGUUUUGUGCUUCGUAAAAAGAUUAGUCCUGAUUCAAUUGAAUCUUUGCAAUGAAUCUAUUUGUUUUUAGAAUUAUCUGAUUAGUUUUUUUGUUAUUAAAGUUGUUUAUUUCAAUAAUUUCUGAAAUUUCUUUCUGGAAAAUUUUUAAAAUGUUUAUUUUUUUUGUCUUCUUUUCUGAGACAAAAUGUGAUUUGUAUAUUGAGAAGGAUAUUAAUAGUUAAUAUGUAAUUAAUAUCAAAGUAUGCUAAAUCUUCAAUUUUGUACCCUGUUACUAAAUUUUCUAGGUUUAUAAUAUCUUUUUCAAUACCUAGGGAUUUCAUUAAUGUCAUUAUUAUUUUUAGAAAGUCAUUAUUAUAUGAGCAAUUGACAAAAAAAUGUUCAUAGUCUUCCUUUUUUUUACAAUGCUUACAUAAGUUGUCUUCAGUAAUUUUCCACUUGUUUAAAAGUUCAUUACUUGGCAGUAUGUAGUGAAUAAGUUUCCAUCUAAAUAUUUUCAAUCUAUUAUCAGUUAGAUAUUGAAAAAUGAAAACAAAAGUAUUUUUCAAUUUAGAAUUUAAGUGCUUCUCAAAUAUUUUUUCCCACAUAAGAAAACCAUUUGGUUUAUCACAACUAUUUUUCAGUGUGAAUAUUUUAUAGAGUUCUUUUGUACUCAUCAAGGGAGUAAUUGUCCUGUGCAUAAUUUUUAAGUCGUUUAUAAAUUUAACUUUAGUUUUGAAUGAAUCUUCAGUGCAAAGAAUUGUUUUCCAAUCAAUUGGUAUUGCUUUUUUUAACAUAUAUAUUUGCCUUAUCCAAUUUUGUUUAUAUUUUAGUUUAGUUAAAAUGAUAGUUUCAGAGAUAUUGCCCUGUUCAUCAAUUACAUCAUUUAUAUUGAUAAUGUCACUUUUUAUCCAAUCUUCAAAGUUUAAACAUUUUCCAUUAAACCGGAUAUUAUCAUUUCCCCACAAAACUUGUUUUCUAAUUUCAAGAAAAUUUUUAGGAUAUUUUGUAUUACCUCCCUUUACACUUAUCCAAUCUUUAAUUAGUUGUUUAUAGAAGUCCGGUAAAUAUUGUAACUUAUUUUUAUCAAUGUCGUUUAUAUUCUUUAAAUUCAUUUUAAAUACAAGAAGAUUUUUUCCUAAUUUGUUGAAGUAAAAUUUGGGAAUAAUUGUCCAGUUGUCAUUUUUAUUUUCACUUAAUUUAAGAAUCCAGUUGAUAUGCAGUGAUUUUAUAUAAGCAUCAAUGUCUGUCAUUUUAAGUCCACCUUCCAGAAAAUCAUUUGAAAGUGUUGAUCUUUUUAUUCUAUCUCUUUUGCCUUUCCAAAUAAAAUUGUAUAUUAAAGUUUUAAAGUCUUGCAACAUUUCCUUAGGAAUAAUAGUGUUUGAUGCAACAUAUGUUAGGUUUGGCAAAACUAAAGAUUUGAUGACAACUAUUUUUCCUAUGAUAGUAAGAUUUCUUUUACUCCAAUCAGAUAUUAUUUUUUUACUUUUUAACAGUUGUUUUUCAAAGUUAAGUUUUUGACAUUCUUGUUUAUUAUAACCAAAGUAAAUUCCGAGGCUUUUGAUUGGUGUAGUACACCAAUUUAUAUUUUCAAAUUUUUCCCGACUGUGUUUUAAUCGACCAAGCCAUAUUCCUUCAGUUUUUGUUUUAUUCAAUUUCAAACCUGAGAGAGUACCAAAUAUUUCUAUUAAAUUAAUUGCUAGAGAUACAUCUUUUUUUGAUUGAAGAAAUAGAGUAGUAUCGUCAGCUAAUUGGCAGAUUUUCAGGGUAUUACUCUUACCGUCUAAUUUUAUUUCUAGUCCUUUUAAGUUUUUAUUUUCCCUUAUCUUUAUUGCCAUAACUUCUACAGCUAGAACAAAUAGUAACGAUGAUAACGGACAUCCUUGUCGGAUCCCGCGAGAGCGCCCAAAACGGGAGGAAACCCAUCCAUUAUUAAUAAUGCAUCCUUUAAUAUCAGAGUACAUUGUCUGAACCCACCUUAUAAAAUUAUCUUUAAAUCCAAAUUUUUUUAAAGUCUCAAACAUGAAGUCCCAUUCUAAUGAGUCAAAUGCUUUUGUAAAAUCAAGAAAUAAAAUUGCCCCAUCAAUUUUGAAAGUUUCAGAAUAGUCUAUGACAUCUUGUAUUUGCUUAUAUGUUGAAACCAAUAUACCUAUUUUUGACAUAUCCUUUUUGAUCAGUAUGUAUAAUCUUUGGUAGCAGGGGUUUUAAUCUUUGUGCUAAGGCAUAAGCAAGUAAUUUAGCAUCAUAGUUUAAAAGAGUAAUAGGUCUAUAAUUGUCUAGAGAAAAGGGAUCAUUCUUUUUAUAAAUUAGAGAUAUUAAGCCAACUUUCUGAGUGUUAGAUAGUUCUCUUUUUUCAUAGCAGUAAUUAAAAGUGGAGACUAUAAAAGAUUUAAGUUCAUCCCAGAAUGUUCUGUAAAAUUCCACAUUUAGUCCGUCAAGCCCAGGUGCUUUAUUAAGUUUCAUUUUAAAAAUUGCAUCAGUACAUUCAUCAACAGUUAUUUCCCCUUCACAAGAAUUACUUUCACAGUCAGUUAAUUUCUUAUAUUCCUUGAGAGAAUCUAAAUACUUUUUAGUUGCUUCUAUUUCAGGGUUUUUUGUAGAAUAUAAAUUUUUAUAAUAAUUUGCUUCUAAUUUUAAUAUUUUGUCUUGAUCUCUUGUAAUUUGACCUUUAUCAUCAUAUAAUUGGGUUAUUGUUUUUCUACUCUGUCUUGAUUUUUCCAUCCCUAGAAAAUAUGCAGAAUUUUUCUCUCCUUCUUCAACCCAUUUUACCCUUGCUCUUAUUUGAUUCCCUUUUAUUUUUUCGUUAUAGAGUUUUCCUAUUUCAUUUUCUAUAUUAUCUAUUUCUUUUAAUAUAUUAUUGUUGUUUUUAUUAUUGCAUGUAUCAAUAAUAUUAUUUAAUUCUGUUAAAUUUUUUUCCAAUUUGCUGAUUAGGUUUUUUUUAUUCUUAGCUUUUGUUUUGCAAUAGCUUAUUGUCUGGUCUCUAACUUCUAUUUUGAAAUUGUCCCACAGUAUGUCAAGAUCUGUUCUUGUUUUAGCUUUGUUUUUAAAUUUUUUAAUUAUUUUCCUAAUUAUUUCAGCAUAGUCUUCAUUUUGAAGUACACUGCUGUUUAAUUUCCAGUAUCCUUUUCCUUUUUGGCCUCUGUUUAAAUUUAUUUUUAAAGAAACACAGUUGUGGUCUGUGUAUUGUAAUACUAUUGGUCUAAUGUCACAUGAAACACAGUUUUUGAAUACUUCUGGAGCUAUUAAAAAAUAAUCUAUUCGUGUUGACUCUGACCUAUCUUUUCUGCUCCAUGUAAAUUGAACUUUAUUUGGAUUUUUGGUUCUCCACACAUCAUUGAGUUUUAGGGACUUUAUAAGUUUAUUUAAAUUGUGAACUUUUUUCCUAUUUUUUUGUUGUUUAGUUUUACUUUUUGAAUCAAUUUGAGAUAAAAUUUCAUUAUGAUCUCCUCCUAAAAUAAGUUGACCUAAACUUUUUUCUUCUAUUAAUGUAUGGACAGUUUUGAAAAAAGUAUUUCUGCUUUUUGGAUUGUUUGGUGCAUAAAUAUUAACUAUUGUUAUUAUAGUAUCAUUUAUUUCAAUAUUAACAAGUAAAAGUCUUCCUUCUUUAUCUUUAUAGUCAUCAAUUAUUUUAAAGUUUAAAAUUUUAUUCAGCCAUAUGGCAAUACCUCUUGAAUUGCUAGAACCAUUACUUAGUAAAAGUUUACCUUCAAAUUCAGUAUUUAAAUUGUUUAUUAAAUUAUCUGUAAAGUGUGUUUCUUGCAUUAGAAGAAUGUCACAUUUUUGGGAUUUUGACCAUUCAAUCAAUCUUUUUCUUUUAUCAGAUUGUUGCAGACCUUUACAAUUAACUGUACAGAUAUGAAGAUGUUUGUUAAAUACCAUGGUUGGUGAGUAGUUAAUUUAUUUGUAGUCUUUUUAAAUACGGUGUUAUGUGUAUUUUAAAAGUUAACAUAGGUAAAUUCCCGUUGAGUGAUACAAUUUUCGAGUUCAUCCGUCACCGGCAAAAACUAGUCAAUUAUACACGCCUUUAUGACGUCAUUUACCAGAUAGAGGGGCUCGCCUGUAUCCCUGCACUAUUUACGUUCAUCAAGCGUCUUAGUGAUCGUCUUUGUGCAGGAUAAACUAGAAAUAAUGGUUGCUCUGUAGGUACUUACUGACAUUUCCCUAAUGACAGCAGUGUUGAUUGUCAAUUUUGAGAAUUCAAUUUGCCGAAUAAUUCGUACAAUAUAGAAUUAUAGUUUUCCAACCACUCGCUCAACAUCGAAAGGAAGUGACGACGCCCCUAAACGCACAAAUGACGAUGAUAAAGGCGCGUAUAAUUGACGAGUUUUUUCCGGUGACGGAUGAACUCGAAAGUGGUCUAUUGGGUCACACUGAAGUUGACCUUCACAGAGCACGAGACUAUAAAUAGACAUCUUUUCAGUUGUUUUAUUUUUAUCACUUUUCUCUGUUCUAGGACAUUUAUCUACGAUUUGUCUUAUGAAUAAGCAUAAGUUAUUGGUUUUUCUUUUACAUUUGAAACUUAAAUUGUUUAUUUUAUAGUUUAUACAAUUUUUACUAUUGACAAUGUUAUGAUUGUCAUGAUUGUUAUCUUUGUAAAUAAUGUUUAUAAACAGGGUAAAUUUUUUACCUGUAUUUGUAUUUACAAUCCUUUUGCAAAAAGGAUGAAAUGCGUAUUUCGUUUGAAUGUUUUUACAUGUAUUCACAAGUAAAGUGUUAACACAAUUUGUUUAUAUUAAAAACAUACAAUAACAAGUUACAUAUACAUUCGUAAAUAGAUACAAUCUAUUGUUUUCUUUUACAUAUACCCCAUAGGUCAUUAUUUGGGUCAUCCAUGUGACUUCAGAAACAGACAUUGACAUGUGCCUCUUAAUUUUAGCACACUCAAUGUUUGUUAAAGGGAAACUUCGCAAAAAAAUCAAAAAUUGAUAUUAUGUUCAUUCUGUAUAAAAAUGCUCAAAUUCAUAGAUAUUAAAGUUUUAUUCUGCUAGAUAAGAGAUCACCAUCGAUUUUAAAUUUAGAGUAUCAAUUCUCUGCGGUCAGCCAUUUUGUUACCUUCUCCGAUUUGCCCUGAUAUGUCUAAGGACCAAAACCACAGUAACCCGAUGUAGUCGUAAUUGCGUGUCGAUAUCUUGUCAAUCGUACGGUUGUUUUAUCCGACUAGUUAACUAAGUUGAAACGGAAAAUUUUCUUAUCUUAUUUUGAUAACCAUGAUCGACGUCAUGAUCUGUUAUUUAUAACAAUAAUGAUAAUAUUGGAAUUAGUUAAAAAGUAAAAAUUUCAAUAAAUAAGUGUUCCGUGAAACUUGAAUUGUUUUCGGAAAUCUAAUAAGUUCAUAAUUCUUUUAUGCAAUAAAUUUAAUUCAAAUAAAUUAGGAUCUUCGCUCCACUGAUCACCCGCAUGGCUAAAGGUAUUACUCCCAAAGGUAUUGCAGGGGGUGUGAGGUGACACGUCCAGGUAUUCAAGCGAUUUCCUGUCGAGCUUGCAAAUUCAUCAUCGUUUCACUUCUUAGGGUAUUGAUCAGUGUACACGGCCGAUAACUUAAAACUUUCCAUUUUGAACUAUUAGGUGUAUAAUAUGCAUCUCUAUCUUGCGUGUCCGAAAGUGAUAUAAUAUACUAGUCAUUACUAAACUCAUACGCUUGUUUAUGAAUAACAUUUCUGGUGUAAAGAAAAUUAUUUAUAAAAAUAUAAAUAAUACCUAAAAAUAAACAACAGAUUUGAUGAAAUAAAAAUCUAUAUACAUAUUUUUUCCAAGGGUUAAUUUGGUAAAAUGUAAUUUAUACUCGUUUUCAAUGGUGAAGGACAGAUCGGACCAUACCAGAAAUAUUGAUUGAAAAAAGUGUACGCACUUGUCGACCAUUCGUAUAUACGCCUGGAUAAUAAGUUACGGAACUAUAGCGCAAAUUCAAAUAUAUACAUGUAUACAUUGUACAUAAGAAAGAAACAUACAUUUUGUGUAAAUUGGGGUAAAAGUUUUUUUAAUAGACUAGUCCACGUAUGCCAACAGUAUGUAAUCAUCAAAUGUCGAAAGACUAUUGUAUACCAAAAGAAGAAGAAGAAGAAGAUAUUUAAAUACAGGUCGAUAUAUAACUUUCUUUGGCUCAUCGUAGUCAUGGACAUUUAUAUAUCAAUUAGAUUGUUCUCGAAUAAAGGAAGAAAUUCGUCAUCAUCACAAUUGUUCCGACAUGCAUGUAAUAUGUACGCAACUGGACGUACACUAAUAAUCCCUAAGGGAUGUGAAUAUUUUCCAGGAAAACUAUAGAGUAUCAAAGUUUCAAAUCAAUUUCAGGAUUUAUUUUCUUUCUUGAUAUUCAAUGACAGCAAUUAAAGAACAAACUGCUUGUCCGCUUUAGUGGUAUUCUUGCCAGUUGAAACAGACUUAUAAUAACAUUAAACAAUAGGGAAAGAUGACAUUAAAUUCGUUCUGUUUUUUUUAUACAUCGUUGGUCAAAUAGCUUAAGUAUUAUAUAUAGUUGGGCCCGAUAUAGUUACGGUGUGAGACGAAGACUAUUUUGUUAAGGACAUUCCCGAUUAUGUAUAUAAAUUUUGUUGAUGUUUUUCACACUUGAAAAGCAAAUAUGUUCGUAAAUUUCGAUUCCAUUUCAAAAAGAUUCUUAAAUUUUCUGUCAAUUUUUUAAAGCAUUUUUUUUCAAAUAUCUGAAGUAUUCGUGCGUUGUGAGGUUUGAAAUAUUUUGAUGAGAACAUUAAUUCCCCAAAAGGUAAUUAAAGAUAACUUUGGAUGGACCAAAUUAUAUAAUUGCAAUUGUUAAUGAUCUGUUUGAAAUAUUUAAGGCUGCCUGAUCCUAAUCUAAAAUAGUACAAUUUUUAGUUCAUACACUCGUGAUUAGAAGGCUGGUUUUAUUUAUGAAUUUAUACUUCAAUUAAAAUAAUUAAGUAUUUUAUCGUUACUGAAUUAAUCAAAAGUCAUAAUUCAUUUAAAAGUGAUCUUAUCAUGCUUAUGCAAAAUAUAAAAAUAUACAACAGCUAUCCAGUUAUUGUGCGACCUUAUUAUUCCCGUUAAUUAAUUUUAAUUAUUUUUUUUUACAUUUCUGUGUCUAAAACUUUGAUAUAUAUAUCUUCAUAAAGCCAAUGCAUUACAUCGGUACAGAGAUAACAAAUACAACAAUAAAUAUUUACAAUAUGUACAAAACAAGCGAGAGAGGUUACAAAAGUUACAAGCCAGGAGUACAAACACUAGUAUUUAUAUUUUUUAUAAAAGAACAAAGCUUCUUCAGAACUGGUUUUCUUGUACUUGACAUAAGUUCAGAGAAUUUAACUGUAUUUUGCCGUUUUGUAAAAUAUGCAGUUAAAAACUCUUUGCGUUUUUGAUGGAAAAAAUUGCAUUCAAAUAUAAAAUGAUAUUCGUCACCUAUUUGUCGAUUGUUACAUAGACUGCAAAAGCGGUUUUCUCUGAUCACGUUUUGCCAUCUUCCUGUUUCAAUCGGCAGCUUAGUAUUAGUCGUUCUAAAUCGACAAAAAACAAUAGCGUCUUUGAAGUCCAAAAUAUUAAAAUAUUCUUCGAAUUCCAAGUUUUUCUUAAAAAUUUUGUAGUUAAUACCUUUUGGUGAAUUUUGAAUGAGGGAAUUCCAGUUCUGAAUAUAUUGAUCUAGCAAUCUCUGCUUAACUGACUCCCGUUUACAAUUCAUACGAAAUGUUGUUCACACCUGCAAUGCCAGUAAACCGUGACACCUAGAUUUCACUGAAUGAGGAUCAAAGGAUUAGAAUUACAUAAUGCUAAUCUUUUAAUUACCUUGAGUUAACCUACGCAUUCAACAUUCUUUAGGUGUCACAAAACAAUACACAUUUUAUUUCCACCGUACAAGCAAGUGAAAAUGUUUGAUGGAAUGAAGCAAAAAGGUCAGAAUACAAACAUGUAUUUUGAAUACAUUAUUGAUCAUGUCAAUUUCAUAUGUUUGUUUAAAGUAUUUGUAAAACAAAAUCAUAAAAAUUUUCUAUUGUAUGAAUUAAUUUUAUUAUUAAAAUUUGUUUUAAAAUAUCCACACGAUCUAAUUUUAAAAGUUGCAUGGCUAUCACUUAUUUUUCGUUGGUUAAUAGCUACACCAAAUGUCGUCGAUGCGCUUUAAAUCGCGUUAUUAGAUGGUUAACGAACAAGACUUAAAUGAGAUAUUUUCACUCCCGGCAUGCAUCAAAGACUUAAACUACGUCACAUAAGUCAGGAAGUUUAAAAAAAUAAAAUUAAUAAUUCCCAAUUUUCUUCUUUAUUAGAUUUCAUAUCAAAAUAAAACUUGGUGAAUAUGUUUUUUAUGGUAUUAUGAACAUAAUAAGAUGAAAAGUGAAAAAUCGCGAAUUAUCCCUUUAAACAAAUACAAGUACAAUUAUUUAUGUGUUUCAUAUUGAAAUACAUAUGCAAAUCAAUUUUAAAAAACAGAACAAUAUUUAUAUACAUACAUGGUAAAAGAUAUUUAUUUUUAUUUUUAGGAUAAGAAGACCUCUCUGACUGAAUUUGAAUGAAGAAAUAUGAACAGAUUAAUAAAAAUUGGAUUUUUUUCCAAUGUACUUUACUGGAAACAUUUAACAGUGUGCUUGAUAAUAGUGAUUGUAAAAAAUAAGUAGUUUGAUACCAAUUAAAUGUUUUGUAUUUUACAGUUUCUUUACUUUUUAAUCUGUGAUAGGUAUCACUUGCCAAAAUCAGAAAAUUAGAAUACAGCGGACUACAUUCUAAAUAUAUACCAGCAAUGAG